This 210-nucleotide ribosomal RNA is filed under the name uncultured bacterium. RNAcentral describes it as "partial 16S ribosomal RNA". It matches the Rfam family "Bacterial small subunit ribosomal RNA", at positions 129 to 334 of the family's 1533-position model. The record is from RNAcentral.
CCUGGUAGCGGGGGGUAACUAUUGGAAACGAUAGCUAAUACCGCAUAAUAUUGAUUAUUGCAUGAUAAUUGAUUGAAAGAUGCAACUGCAUCACUACCAGAUGGACCUGCGUUGUAUUAGCUAGUAGGUGAGGUAACGGCUCACCUAGGCGACGAUACAUAGCCGACCUGAGAGGGUGAUCGGCCACACUGGGACUGAGACACGGCCCAG